This 253-nucleotide ribosomal RNA is filed under the name uncultured bacterium. RNAcentral describes it as "partial 16S ribosomal RNA". It matches the Rfam family "Bacterial small subunit ribosomal RNA", at positions 524 to 776 of the family's 1533-position model. The record is from RNAcentral.
GACAGAGGUGCCAAGCGUUAGGCGGAAUCACUGGGCUUAAAGCGUGUGUAGGCGGAUGGGUAAGUACCUUGUGAAAUCCCACGGCUCAACCGUGGAACUGCUUGGUAUACUGCUUAUCUUGAGCCACUUAGGGGCUACCGGAACAAAUGGUGGAGCGGUGAAAUGCGUAGAUAUCAGGAGGAACACCAAUUGCGAAGGCAGCUCGCUGGGACGUUACUGACGCUGAGACGCGAAAGCGUGGGGAGCAAACAGG